Molecule: ribosomal RNA, 369 nt
Filed under: uncultured bacterium
Lineage: Bacteria
Description: bacterial SSU rRNA
Rfam family: Bacterial small subunit ribosomal RNA
Source: RNAcentral
ACGGAGGGUGCAAGCGUUAUCCGGAUUUAUUGGGUUUAAAGGGUGCGUAGGCGGUAUUAUAAGUCAGUGGUGAAAUGUUGCAGCUUAACUGUAGAAUUGCCAUUGAAACUGCAGUACUUGAGUUAUCUUGAGGUAGGCGGAAUGUGUAGUGUAGCGGUGAAAUGCUUAGAUAUUACACAGAACACCGAUUGCGAAGGCAGCUUACUAAGGGUAUACUGACGCUGAGGCACGAAAGCGUGGGGAUCGAACAGGAUUAGAUACCCUGGUAGUCCACGCCGUAAACGAUGAUAACUCGCUGUUGGCGAUACACAGUCAGCGGCUUAGCGAAAGCGUUAAGUUAUCCACCUGGGGAGUACGCUCGCAAGAGUG